This 775-nucleotide ribosomal RNA is filed under the name uncultured Neocallimastigales. RNAcentral's name for it is "partial large subunit ribosomal RNA". It matches the Rfam family "Eukaryotic large subunit ribosomal RNA", at positions 20 to 646 of the family's 3401-position model. The record is from RNAcentral. Lineage: Eukaryota; Fungi; Neocallimastigomycota; Neocallimastigomycetes; Neocallimastigales.
CAUCACUACGCUAGAUGCAUAUCAAUAAGCGGAGGAAAAGAAACUAACAAGGAUUCCCUAGUAACGGCGAGUGAAGCGGGAAGAGCUCAAAUUUGAAAUCUUAAAGGGUUUCCCUUUACGAAUUGUAGUUUAAAGAAGUGUUUUCUGUUGGAGUUUCGGUAAAAGUUCUUUGGAAUAGGACAUCAUAGAGGGUGAGAAUCCCGUAUUUGACCGUUACUUUCCAGCUGUGUGAUACACUUUCAAAGAGUCGGAUUGUUUGGGAAUGCAGUCCAAAAUGGGUGGUAAAUUUCAUCUAAAGCUAAAUAUUGGCGAGAGACCGAUAGCGAACAAGUACCGUGAGGGAAAGAUGAAAAGAACUUUGAAAAGAGAGUUAAACAGUACGUGAAAUUGUCAAAAGGGAAGCGUUUGACACCAGUGUUGUUUAGUUGAAAAUCAAUUCAAUAAUUUUUGAUUUUGAGUAGUAUUGACUUCAUCAGCUUGCUGCUUUCUUUUCCGGAAAUUAUUGAAUGCACUUUUCAGUUAACAAGUCAACAUCAAUUUCUUUUGUUGUAAAAGGGUAAGAGGAAGGUGGCUUACGCUUCGGCGUAAGUGUUUAUAGCCUUUUACCUCUGCAAUCGGAGAGAUUGAGGACAGCAGCGUAGACUCUUCGGGGUUAGAUACACUUGUGCCAAGCUAUAGCCUUGUAUAGACAACUUGUUGACUAUGCUCAGUCAUGUAGCUUACUCGCUUGUGCUAUUUUACCUACGCUUAGGAUGUUGACGAGACUGUCGAUCUC